This 747-nucleotide ribosomal RNA is filed under the name Triticum aestivum (bread wheat). RNAcentral describes it as "partial small subunit ribosomal RNA". The record is from RNAcentral. Lineage: Eukaryota; Viridiplantae; Streptophyta; Magnoliopsida; Poales; Poaceae.
AUGUUUGCAUUUACUUCGAUGGGUGGCCAGGUCGACUACGAGAUAAACAGAAAAGGGGGUGCACCGUAUGUUUUUCGCUUGAAUGGCCAAAACUAUCAUCAAAUUGGCACAUUGCUGUCUAAAGAUAACGGAGAUAAUGCUAUCAGGCCAAAGUUUGCUCAAUUGUACAUUUAUGAUACAGAAAAUGAGGUCAGAAACAGACUGCAGGCUUCAACCUCAAAGGAAAGGAAAACACAACUUGAUGAAGGCAUUGUGUCUGGAUUAUUGCAGAUGCUUGAUGAUCACAAUGAGUUAGUGAAAUCAUUCCGUAUGGCAAGGGAUAGAUACCAAGAGUCAGAUCUUGAAAAUGUUAGGUUGCGAUUAAUUGGUACAAGAUCUAGUGAUGGAAGACAAUACAACCUACCAACUGCAUCUGAAAUAGCUGCACUCAUUGUUGGGGAACAGACAGGAGAAAAUGUUGAACGUGAUAUAAUAGUAGAAAACAAAGACAAACAACUCCAGCGAAUUUCGGAACUACAUCCAAGCUUUAUGUCUAUGCAAUACCCAUUAUUAUUCCCGUACGGAGAAGAUGGAUUCAGACCAGAAAUAGAAUUAGAGAAAAAAAGGUGUCGAAGGAAAGAGAAAGUAUGUUACCAUGAUGGAGUAUUAUGCAUAUCGCAUCCAGCAGCGACUGAACCAGUCAGUAGUCUUGCAAACGAGUGGCAAACUAUUCCUUCAGUUCAUCAUAGACGCAGCAACAUGCGUUGA